This 395-nucleotide ribosomal RNA is filed under the name uncultured bacterium. RNAcentral describes it as "bacterial SSU rRNA". It matches the Rfam family "Bacterial small subunit ribosomal RNA", at positions 28 to 414 of the family's 1533-position model. The record is from RNAcentral.
GAUGAACGCUAGCUACAGGCUUAACACAUGCAAGUCGAGGGGCAGCAUGCUGAUAGCUUGCUAUCAGUGAUGGCGACCGGCGCACGGGUGAGUAACGCGUAUCCAACCUGCCUGUCACUCAGGAAUAGCCCGGUAGAAAACCGGAUUAAGUCCUGAUGAUAUCAUUAGAGGGCAUCUGACGAUGAAUUUAAAGGUUACGGUGACGGAUGGGGAUGCGUCUGAUUAGCUUGUUGGCGGGGUAACGCCCACAAGGCAACGAUCAGGUAGGGGUUCUGAGAGGAACGGUCCCCCANAUUGGAACUGAGACACGGUCCAAACUCCUACGGGAGCAGCAGUGAGGAAUAUUGGUCAAUGGACGGAAGUCUGAACCAGCCAAGUAGCGUGCAGGAUGACGG